Molecule: ribosomal RNA, 462 nt
Filed under: uncultured bacterium
Lineage: Bacteria
Description: bacterial SSU rRNA
Rfam family: Bacterial small subunit ribosomal RNA
Source: RNAcentral
GAUGAACGCUGGCGGCGUGCCUAACACAUGCAAGUCGAACGCUCGCAAGAGAGUGGCGCACGGGUGAGUAACACGUAGCUAAUCUGCCCUCAAGACAAGGAUAACUGUAGGAAACUACUGCUAAUACUUGAUAAGCUUACGGACUGUAGAGGUCUAUAAGAAAGAUUUAUCGCUUGAGGAUGAGGCUGCGCGCCAUCAGCUAGUUGGUAAGGUAAUGGCUUACCAAGGCGACGACGGCUAGGGGACCUGAGAGGGUGACCCCCCACACUGGGACUGAGACACGGCCCAGACCCCUACGGGAGGCAGCAGUGAGGAAUAUUGCUCAAUGGGCGCAAGCCUGAAGCAGCGACGCCGCGUGGAUGAAGAAGGUUUUCGGACUGUAAAAUCCUUUUCUGUGUGACGAGAGUGGACGGUAGCACAGGAAUAAGUCUCGGCUAACUACGUGCCAGCAGCCGCGGUAAU